This 427-nucleotide ribosomal RNA is filed under the name uncultured bacterium. Its description in RNAcentral is "partial 16S ribosomal RNA". It matches the Rfam family "Bacterial small subunit ribosomal RNA", at positions 355 to 774 of the family's 1533-position model. The record is from RNAcentral.
UGGGGAAUAUUGGACAAUGGGCGAAAGCCUGAUCCAGCCAUGCCGCGUGUGUGAAGAAGGUCUUCGGAUUGUAAAGCACUUUAAGUUGGGAGGAAGGGCAUUAACCUAAUACGUUAGUGUUUUGACGUUACCGACAGAAUAAGCACCGGCCAACUCUGUGCCAGCAGCCGCGGUAAUACAGAGGGUGCAAGCGUUAAUCGGAAUUACUGGGCGUAAAGCGCGCGUAGGUGGUUUGUUAAGUUGGAUGUGAAAUCCCCGGGCUCAACCUGGGAACUGCAUUCAAAACUGACUGACUAGAGUAUGGUAGAGGGUGGUGGAAUUUCCUGUGUAGCGGUGAAAUGCGUAGAUAUAGGAAGGAACACCAGUGGCGAAGGCGACCACCUGGACUAAUACUGACACUGAGGUGCGAAAGCGUGGGGAGCAAACA